UACGGAGGAUGCGAGCGUUAUCCGGAUUUAUUGGGUUUAAAGGGUGCGUAGGCGGCGAGUUAAGUCAGCGGUAAAAGCCCGGGGCUCAACCCCGGCCCGCCGUUGAAACUGGUUUUCUAGAGUUGGAGAGAAGUAUGCGGAAUUCGUGGUGUAGCGGUGAAAUGCAUAGAUAUCACGAAGAACUCCGAUUGCGAAGGCAGCAUACCGGCUCCCAACUGACGCUCAGGCACGAAAGCGUGGGUAUCGAACAGG
RNAcentral lists this ribosomal RNA (252 nucleotides) under uncultured Bacteroidales bacterium. RNAcentral's name for it is "partial 16S ribosomal RNA". It matches the Rfam family "Bacterial small subunit ribosomal RNA", at positions 524 to 776 of the family's 1533-position model. The record is from RNAcentral. Lineage: Bacteria; Pseudomonadati; Bacteroidota; Bacteroidia; Bacteroidales.